Molecule: long non-coding RNA, 259 nt
Organism: Thalassophryne amazonica
Lineage: Eukaryota; Metazoa; Chordata; Actinopteri; Batrachoidiformes; Batrachoididae
Exons: 2
Source: RefSeq, a predicted model, not a curated record
GGAAAUCGCGCGGUGCUGUGAAUACUUUCCAGAUGCACUGUAUGAGAGGUAUGGAUGGACUGUUUGUCUGCCUGGGAUGUUGACACGCAGGACCAAGGGUGAUUCUGUCGUGCAAUGUUUCUGGCAGCAUGCAACACCAGCAUGCUCCCAGAUCUGCCCUUCACACCAGUUCAUAAUAAGAAAGUCUGUUGAAGCACUUGUUAAAGGCCUGUAUUUGCACUCCAACUGUUUUAUGCUUGUUAUUUCUGGCUGAAGCUAA